This 492-nucleotide ribosomal RNA is filed under the name uncultured bacterium. RNAcentral describes it as "partial 16S ribosomal RNA". It matches the Rfam family "Bacterial small subunit ribosomal RNA", at positions 29 to 507 of the family's 1533-position model. The record is from RNAcentral.
AGUGAACGCUGGCGGUAGGCCUAACACAUGCAAGUCGAACGGCAGCACAGUAAGAGCUUGCUCUUACGGGUGGCGAGUGGCGGACGGGUGAGGAAUACAUCGGAAUCUACUUUUUCGUGGGGGAUAACGUAGGGAAACUUACGCUAAUACCGCAUACGACCUACGGGUGAAAGCAGGGGAUCUUCGGACCUUGCGCGAUUGGAUGAGCCGAUGUCGGAUUAGCUAGUUGGCGGGGUAAAGGCCCACCAAGGCGACGAUCCGUAGCUGGUCUGAGAGGAUGAUCAGCCACACUGGAACUGAGACACGGUCCAGACUCCUACGGGAGGCAGCAGUGGGGAAUAUUGGACAAUGGGCGCAAGCCUGAUCCAGCCAUACCACGUGGGUGAAGAAGGCCUUCGGGUUGUAAAGCCCUUUUGUUGGGAAAGAAAAGCAGCAGGUUAAUACCCCGCUGUUCUGACGGUACCCAAAGAAUAAGCACCGGCUAACUUCGUG